Molecule: long non-coding RNA, 247 nt
Organism: Sinocyclocheilus anshuiensis
Lineage: Eukaryota; Metazoa; Chordata; Actinopteri; Cypriniformes; Cyprinidae
Exons: 6
Source: RefSeq, a predicted model, not a curated record
CUACACGUCGCUCUUCAGAUUUUCUCGUUGAUUGCUGUUUUAUCAUGUUUGUUCGGAUGCUUGAGCAUAACUCACGCUAUUCAAAGACGAACCACAGUGAACGGUUUCUGUCCGGCGAGGCUGACGGUCGUGCCGUCCCGUCGAGUAUGUUCUUCUGAUAAAGACUGCCCUGGAGGACACAAAUGCUGUCGAUUUGACUGUGGGCCUGUUUGCGUGCUGCCUGUUUUCAAGAGCGGAAGAGAACACG